Molecule: ribosomal RNA, 236 nt
Filed under: uncultured bacterium
Lineage: Bacteria
Description: partial 16S ribosomal RNA
Rfam family: Bacterial small subunit ribosomal RNA
Source: RNAcentral
UGAGGAACAUGACCUUCGGCGGGGGAGUAGCCGGCCCAACGGCCGGGUAAUACCGCGUACGACCACUUUGGGACAUCCCUAGGUGGUGAAAGCAGCAAUGCGCCGAUGGAGUGCCUCGCGGCCUAUCAGCUAGUUGGUGAGGUAACGGCUCACCAAGGCGACGACGGGUAGCUGGUCUGGAGGGGAUGGCCAGCCACAUUGGGACUGAGACACGGCCCAGACCUACCGUACGGGAA